GGGAACCUUUGGCCCCAGGGCUGGUGCCACUGGCAGCUCUGUCUGCGAGCCCUGCCCAGCAGGUAAGCAGGGACAUGGCAAGAGAAACUCAGGGGAAUACAUGGAAUAGUUCAGGAAAUUGUGUCUUCUCCCUUCAUGUUAAUGACUCCUCCACCAGUCUUCUGUGCAAGCCAUCUCAUGGAGAUUGCUUUUCUGUUCGUUUUAGGCAUGUAUUGCUCAGCACCAGGUCUGUCCCAGCCUUCUGGAUUUUGCUACUCGGGUUAUCACUGUGCCAGCGGAGCCACCAGCCCAGCGCCCUUCAAACACAGGGCACACCCUUCCCCACUCCCUGCAGCGCCGGGUGAGCAGCAAGGGGAGCAGCAAAGCUGGAAGUGAAAGAGCAGAUCUGCGCUGCAGGCACAGCGAGGACCGCAGCUUGCACCAAGGUACCUGGAUCGAGCUCGUGUACUUAUGUCAGCAAAGUCACAGACACAAACACAGCUCAGCACAGGCUGCAAAAUGUGCCAGGAAGCUGAAGGCUUGCUGUGGUGCCAUAAUUGCACUGCUAAAAGCGACCAAGUGCUGAGCUAACUAGCUCAGCUAUAGCUACUCUGUAGUGGCUAUUUUGAGACGCAGCCAGGAAGAAAAAGGGGAGGAACAGAAUGUUUUGCACCACAGAAUCCUGAACAACAGGGCUGAAAACUUAUUUUUAAUUCCCUUAAAAAGAAAAAAAAAUCUCAUAGAAAGUAGUAUACUGAAAGGGGGAUUUGAUUCAGCAAAGUUGGUAUCAAGUACUCAGGUUUUAGACGCUUUAGUAUAGGGAAGCUGAAGGACACCAUCAAGCCCUGUGCAAAAAUGGCCCCAUUUGUUCUUGUCUGAACAGGCACGAGGGAGAGUGAAACCCAGCAAUUAAUCAAGGGAGCGAUCUGAUAGACUCUUUGUCAUGUGUGGGAGUGCCAGAUACAUGACUCUGAGAGCCUGGCACGUGAAUUGGUUGCGCACUUCUUUGCUUCUGUUUAGCAGACACCCAAUGCACAGCUUCAGUAGGGCAGCCACACUGCUCCCAGUGGAUUUUCUAUCCCAAUUGAAAUGUUUAUGGCCUUGCAGAAUGAAAGUGAAUUGCUACACAAAUGCGCCUCUCCCUCUGCACCCCCAUAUUUCUGGUCACUGUAGGAUGAGAGGUCCUUCA
RNAcentral lists this long non-coding RNA (1168 nucleotides) under Anas platyrhynchos (mallard). Its description in RNAcentral is "lncRNA (ENSAPLG00020010669.1)". The record is from RNAcentral. Lineage: Eukaryota; Metazoa; Chordata; Aves; Anseriformes; Anatidae.